This 593-nucleotide ribosomal RNA is filed under the name Streptomyces sp. RNAcentral's name for it is "bacterial SSU rRNA". It matches the Rfam family "Bacterial small subunit ribosomal RNA", at positions 262 to 862 of the family's 1533-position model. Lineage: Bacteria; Bacillati; Actinomycetota; Actinomycetes; Kitasatosporales; Streptomycetaceae. The record is from RNAcentral.
CGUACCUAAAGGCGACGACGGGUAGCCGGCCUGAGAGGGCGACCGGCCACACUGGGACUGAGACACGGCCCAGACUCCUACGGGAGGCAGCAGUGGGGAAUAUUGCACAAUGGGCGAAAGCCUGAUGCAGCGACGCCGCGUGAGGGAUGACGGCCUUCGGGUUGUAAACCUCUUUCAGCAGGGAAGAAGCGAGAGUGACGGUACCUGCAGAAGAAGCGCCGGCUAACUACGUGCCAGCAGCCGCGGUAAUACGUAGGGCGCAAGCGUUGUCCGGAAUUAUUGGGCGUAAAGAGCUCGUAGGCGGCUUGUCACGUCGGAUGUGAAAGCCCGGGGCUUAACCCCGGGUCUGCAUUCGAUACGGGCAGGCUAGAGUUCGGUAGGGGAGAUCGGAAUUCCUGGUGUAGCGGUGAAAUGCGCAGAUAUCAGGAGGAACACCGGUGGCGAAGGCGGAUCUCUGGGCCGAUACUGACGCUGAGGAGCGAAAGCGUGGGGAGCGAACAGGAUUAGAUACCCUGGUAGUCCACGCCGUAAACGUUGGGAACUAGGUGUGGGCGACAUUCCACGUCGUCNCGUGCAUGCAGCUAACUGCGAUC